Molecule: long non-coding RNA, 782 nt
Organism: Hyla sarda
Lineage: Eukaryota; Metazoa; Chordata; Amphibia; Anura; Hylidae
Exons: 5
Source: RefSeq, a predicted model, not a curated record
GUAGGACGAGCGGCUUAUAACGUCCUGGUAAACGCUGAUAUAUUUGGCGCUGAAUCAUUGUUACAUUAUUCCAGAGAAUUAGCUGCAGCACGAAGCGCGCCAUUCCUCGUCCCGCUGUCCGCUGCCGCAGAUUUACUUUCUUCUAGAUAUAACGUUAUAGCUCCAAAGGUGGAAAAUUCCCAGGAUCGACGCUGCCAGAAGUGGAGAACAACAGAGGAGCUGGACGCUGCCAGAAUCGGAGAGAACAACAGAGGAGCUGGAAGAGGAGAAAUGUUAUAAGAACUUUACAGACAGCAGAGAUGGAACAAAUGUGAACAGAACAGUGAUAAUAAGAAAGUUCUCCCUGCUAAACCAGAGAGAGGCAAGACAAGGCGGGAUAAUACCAUGAAUGGAGGCAAAACACGUAACGCAGAGCGGAGAUCACGGGGGCCGCGCGGAGGAGAAGAUUAAUGUCACCAGAGAGAUUUGCAUAAGUAAUUAUUGGAGCGGUGACGGCUCUGACAGGCAUUGAAGUGGCAGCCAGAGUGCGAAGGACGAGUGUCGGGCCGGUGAUAUCUGGUCAUCCGCGGUGUAAAUGAAGACAAAUACGAGGACCCUGCCCCCACUGACCGCACCGCCACCUUCAUAUCCCUCCGCUCCCAUCACUCCUCCAAAUCUGCUACUUCAGUCUCCAUCGGGCCCAGACCGCCAUGAUGACCCCUUCCAGCCUCGUCUCUGCAGAAUAAAAUGCACAAAAACCUUCUGCUCCUUGUUUUUCCAGCUCCCUGACAGGUAUCUUACCC